GCCUGGAUAGCUCAGUUGGUUAGAGCAUGGUGCUGAUAAUGCCAAGGCUGCAAGUUUGAUCCCUGUAUGGGACA
This 74-nucleotide transfer RNA is filed under the name Podarcis lilfordi (Lilford's wall lizard). RNAcentral describes it as "tRNA.Ile". The stretch from base 8 to 66 matches the Rfam family "tRNA", at positions 8 to 63 of the family's 71-position model. From Rfam's summary of the family: Transfer RNA (tRNA) molecules are approximately 80 nucleotides in length. Their secondary structure includes four short double-helical elements and three loops (D, anti-codon, and T loops). Further hydrogen bonds mediate the characteristic L-shaped molecular structure. tRNAs have two regions of fundamental functional importance: the anti-codon, which is responsible for specific mRNA codon recognition, and the 3' end, to which the tRNAs corresponding amino acid is attached (by aminoacyl-tRNA synthetases). tRNAs cope with the degeneracy of the genetic code in two manners: having more than one tRNA (with a specific anti-codon) for a particular amino acid; and 'wobble' base-pairing, i.e. permitting non-standard base-pairing at the 3rd anti-codon position. The record is from RNAcentral. Lineage: Eukaryota; Metazoa; Chordata; Lepidosauria; Squamata; Lacertidae.